This is a small nuclear RNA of Dipodomys ordii (Ord's kangaroo rat), 125 nucleotides long. Lineage: Eukaryota; Metazoa; Chordata; Mammalia; Rodentia; Heteromyidae. The record is from Ensembl.
GAAUGCUAGAGAAAGACACACUGUCUGCACUUCCCUUGACAAGAAUGGAAGAGGCACUUGAACCUGUCAACAAGCAUACAAUUAAGCCAUUGCAUCUACAUUGUGACAUCUGACCAUCGCAUUUU